AGCCACACUGGAACUGAGACACGGUCCAGACUCCUACGGGAGGCAGCAGUGGGGAAUAUUGCACAAUGGGCGCAAGCCUGAUGCAGCCAUGCCGCGUGUGUGAAGAAGGCCUUCGGGUUGUAAAGCACUUUCAGCGGGGAGGAAGGCGCUAAGGUUAAUAACCUUGGCGAUUGACGUUACCCGCAGAAGAAGCACCGGCUAACUCCGUGCCAGCAGCCGCGGUAAUACGGAGGGUGCAAGCGUUAAUCGGAAUUACUGGGCGUAAAGCGCACGCAGGCGGUCUGUCAAGUCGGAUGUGAAAUCCCCGGGCUCAACCUGGGAACUGCAUUCGAAACUGGCAGGCUAGAGUCUUGUAGAGGGGGGUAGAAUUCCAGGUGUAGCGGUGAAAUGCGUAGAGAUCUGGAGGAAUACCGGUGGCGAAGGCGGCCCCCUGGACAAAGACUGACGCUCAGGUGCGAAAGCGUGGGGAGCAAACAGGAUUAGAUACCCUGGUAGUCCACGCUGUAAACGAUGUCGAUUUGGAGGUUGUGCCCUUGAGGCGUGGCUUCCGGAGCUAACGCGUUAAAUCGACCGCCUGGGGAGUACGGCCGCAAGGUUAAAACUCAAAUGAAUUGACGGGGGCCCGCACAAGCGGUGGAGCAUGUGGUUUAAUUCGAUGCAACGCGAAGAACCUUACCUGGUCUUGACAUCCACAGAACUUUCCAGAGAUGGAUUGGUGCCUUCGGGAACUGUGAGACAGGUGCUGCAUGGCUGUCGUCAGCUCGUGUUGUGAAAUGUUGGGUUAAGUCCCGCAACGAGCGCAACCCUUAUCCUUUGUUGCCAGCGGUCCGGCCGGGAACUCAAAGGAGACUGCCAGUGAUA
RNAcentral lists this ribosomal RNA (861 nucleotides) under Klebsiella pneumoniae. RNAcentral describes it as "bacterial SSU rRNA". It matches the Rfam family "Bacterial small subunit ribosomal RNA", at positions 306 to 1160 of the family's 1533-position model. Lineage: Bacteria; Pseudomonadati; Pseudomonadota; Gammaproteobacteria; Enterobacterales; Enterobacteriaceae. The record is from RNAcentral.